GUGGCGGACGGGUGAGUAACGCGUGAGCAAUCUGCCUUACACAAAGGGAUGGCCUCGGGAAACCGGGAUUAAUACCAUAUGAUAUCUAUUCACCGCAUGGUUUAUAGAUUAAAGAAUUUCGGUGUAAGAUGAGCUCGCGUCCCAUUAAUUAGUUGGUGAGGGUAACGGCCCACCAAGAUAGCGAUGGGUAGCCGAUCUAAGAGGAUGACCGGCCACAUUGGAACUGAGAAACGGUCCAAACUCCUACGGGAGGCAGCAGUGGGGAAUAUUGCACAAUGGGGGGAACCCUGAUGCAGCGACGCCGCGUGAGCGAUGAAGGCUUUCGAGUCGUAAAGCUCUGUCCUAUGGGAAGAUAAUGACGGUACCAUAGAAGAAAGCCCCGGCUAAUUACGUGCCAGCAGCCGCGGUAAUACGUAAGGGGCGAGCGUUGUCCGGAAUUAUUGGGCGUAAAGAGUGCGUAGGCGGCAAAUUAAGUCAGAUGUGAAAACUAAGGGCUCAACCCAUAGAUUGCAUCUGAAACUGAUAUGCUUGAGUCAAGGAGAGGAAAGUGGAAUUCCUAGUGUAGCGGUGGA
This 572-nucleotide ribosomal RNA is filed under the name uncultured bacterium. RNAcentral's name for it is "bacterial SSU rRNA". It matches the Rfam family "Bacterial small subunit ribosomal RNA", at positions 95 to 685 of the family's 1533-position model. The record is from RNAcentral.